CCCAGGGGGUGCCCUGAACGAAGGGCUGAGAUUCCAAAGCGCAACGCUGAUCCGUCGCGGCAGGAGAACCCAUAGCACCUGAUCCGGUUCGUACCGGCGGAGGGAAUGAGGAU
This 113-nucleotide non-coding RNA is filed under the name uncultured Agrococcus sp. The record is from RNAcentral. Lineage: Bacteria; Bacillati; Actinomycetota; Actinomycetes; Micrococcales; Microbacteriaceae.